Molecule: ribosomal RNA, 301 nt
Filed under: uncultured bacterium
Lineage: Bacteria
Description: partial 16S ribosomal RNA
Rfam family: Bacterial small subunit ribosomal RNA
Source: RNAcentral
CAGUCGCCACGGUAAUACGGAGGGUGCAAGCGUUAAUCGGAAUUGCUGGGCGUAAAGCGCACGCAGGCGGUUUGUUAAGUCAGAUGUGAAAUCCCCGAGCUUAACUUGGGAACUGCAUUUGAAACUGGCAAGCUAGAGUCUUGUAGGGGGGGGUAGAAUUCCAGGUGUAGCGGUGAAAUGCGUAGAGAUCUGGAGGAAUACCGGUGGCGAAGGCGGCCCCCUGGACAAAGACUGACGCUCAGGUGCGAGAGCGUGGGGAGCAAACAGGAUUAGAUACCCCGGUAGUCCCUGUCUCUUAUAC